AGAGCGAACGCUGGCGGCAGGCCUAACACAUGCAAGUCGAGCGCCCGUAGCAAUACGGGAGCGGCAGACGGGAUAGUAACACGUGGGAACGCGCCCUUCGGUUCGGAAUAACUCAGGGAAACUUGAGCUAAUACCGGAUACGCCCUUACGGGGAAAGAUUUAUUGCCGAAGGAACGGCCCGCGUCCGAUUAGCUAGUUGGUGAGGUAAUGGCUCACCAAGGCGACGAUCGGUAGCUGGUCUGAGAGGAUGACCAGCAUCACUGGGACUGAGACACGGCCCAGACUUCUACGGGAGGCAGCAGUGGGGAAUAUUGGACAAUGGGCGCAAGCCUGAUCCAGCCAUGCCGCGUGGAUGAUGAAGGCCUUAGGGUUGUAAAGUCCUUUUAACGGGGAAGUAUAAUGACGGUACCGUAGAAUAAGCCCGGCUAACUUCGUGCCAGCAGCCGC
This 447-nucleotide ribosomal RNA is filed under the name uncultured bacterium. Its description in RNAcentral is "SSU rRNA". It matches the Rfam family "Bacterial small subunit ribosomal RNA", at positions 26 to 518 of the family's 1533-position model. The record is from RNAcentral.